This 1980-nucleotide long non-coding RNA is filed under the name Homo sapiens (human). RNAcentral describes it as "HSALNT0192092". The record is from RNAcentral. Lineage: Eukaryota; Metazoa; Chordata; Mammalia; Primates; Hominidae.
CCAUUAUCAGAAAUGUUUGGGAUGUAAUUACAUUUGCAGUUAAUUUCUGUUGAAGUUUUUCGGAAUGUUGACCUAUAACGGCAUAUAAAGAUAACUGACUAAAGGCCAGCGUUCCAUCAGUAGAUGUUCAUUUAGGACCUGAGUAUAUUGCCUUGUGCCACGCCUUGAUUUAGGAGUUCAAUUUAGUCUCCGACUUCCUGUAGCCUGUAAUCUAGUGGGAGAUGGUGUUAUUAAAAACCUGACUUUAGAGUCAGUUGAUCAGGAUUAAAUUACGAGAGCCUUCAAAUACUGGCUGUGACCUCUUCGCCCCAAUAAAAAGGCUACUUUCACUAUCUUGUCAUAGUAGGGAUUCAUUUCCUGACUACGAAAUCAAGAAACAUAAAGAAACCUUCUAUAAGCUGAAUAGGGGUGACUGUGGGUGCAGGAUUGGAAAUGACAAAGCUGCCUCCAUCUUGUUUCCUGUGACAGAGCUGAAUUGUUUGGGCUAACAAUAAACUCUAAAAGGCAGAUACUGUUUUAUAGCAAAAUAUUUGCAUAUAAUUGAUGCCAUUUUCUUCUGAUUACAGAUAGGAUUUCUGAAGGUCUUUUUCAUUUUAUAGUCUACAAUUGAAUUUUAAAAAACAACAUUUCACCAAUGUGGGAAAGCCAAAGAUGAUUGGCCAUAUAUAGACUUAACAGACCCUAAGAACAAACCUAAAAUAGUAGUUCGAUAUGUUUAUUUUUAUUUAGUAUUUAAGAAAGAAUGCUGAUCUUGACAUUUGAGUCUUAGUCAUGUACUCUUCGGAAGUCACACAAUCUCUCACUGAUCCUGUUUCCUCCUCUGUCAUACAAUGGAAAUAAUAUCAUUCAAUGUCACAGAGAUCUGUCAUAUGAGGAAACUAAUUCUACCUUGCAAUCUCACAGAGUUUUAUGAGGGUCUAAUGGAGUCAUACAUGUGACUGUGCUUUGAAAACAGUAAAGAAUAUACAAAUUUAUUUAUACAAGCAUACAUCCCCUGGAACCGUGUGGUAAGCUCUGUGCUAGGUGCUAACCAUGCAAAGAUUAAUGAGAUGGCCCCCUUUCUGCCCAGUCUUGCUUGGGAGACAGUGAGCAAACCAUAAGCUUCUGUGCAGUACUCUAAGCACUAUUAAAAGGAAGUGCCCUCGGUGGCCAGAGGUUGCAAAAACAACUUUGGUUUUUUACCGUUAUUCACAUGCCCUGAAUUAAGCAACAGAAAGAAGUUGAGAUGAGCGCAAUGAUACCAGAGUGUGUUACAAGCUUUUGCACAAAGUUAUUAAACCUCACUCGGUAACUGAGGAUAAAAGAACAUACAAAUCCCUUGACUUCUAAUGUAGUUAUUUUACAACAUCCUUUAUUAGGGAAUAUGUAUUUAAGCAGCUUGAUUCAUCAGCCCAAAAGUCAUAAAUUGUACCCAUUCCAACACAAAUCCCUGAUUGUGGUGUCAGUGAAGGUAGAGUUUUCUUUGUCUUUUUGUUUCCUAAUGCAUCCUCAGGACUAAACAUUUCAUAGCAUAUUUCUGGACUUCUGCCUUGAGCUUCCUAUUUGAAAUUUGCUCUGUCAUUCUUUCUCUGUGUUGACUCUGUAGGGUUGUUGUUGUUUUUAAAUCAAGAUUAAAAGAGAAAUUAAAAGGAAGCAUAAAUCACCAUAAAUUCAUCUGUUAUUAUUUUUAGUAGUGGAAAGUUCAUUCCCUUUAGCUUAUGUCUACACAGGUGUAGAAAAUUAAUAAAAAUUCAUUAUCCAUUAGAAUUUGUUUUUAUGAAUAAAUACUAUCUCUCCAAUAAUAUUUGUGAAUUUCGUUUUGAGACAUGCAGGGAUAUACUUGAUCUAGUCACAUGCCAGUUGCUUUGCUGUGUAUUUACCUGAGAAUUGUUAAAAUAUUUGUAAUUAUGCUUUUAUCUUAGCUAUUUGGUUACAAAAUCACUACACUCUUUCAUUAAAUGAUAUGUAGAAAUUUAGUUUAAUGGUAACUAUAUUUUCAUG